Molecule: ribosomal RNA, 402 nt
Filed under: uncultured bacterium
Lineage: Bacteria
Description: bacterial SSU rRNA
Rfam family: Bacterial small subunit ribosomal RNA
Source: RNAcentral
UAGGGAAUAUUGGUAAUGUGCGAAAGCGCGAACCAGCAACGCCGCGUGCACGAUGAAGGCCUUCGGGUCGUAAAGUGCUUUUAGAGAGGAUGAGGAAGGACGGUACUUUCUGAAUAAGCCUCGGCUAACUACGUGCCAGCAGCCGCGGUAAAACGUAGGAGGCUAGCGUUAUCCGGAUUUACUGGGCGUAAAGCGCAUGCAGGUGGUUUUGUAAGUUGGAUGUGAAAGCUCCUGGCUUAACUGGGAGAGGUCGUUCAAAACUACAAGACUUGAGAUUGGUAGAGGAAAAUGGAAUUCCGGGUGUAGUGGUGAAAUGCGUAGAUAUCCGGAGGAACACCAGUGGCGAAAGCGGUUUUCUGGACCAAUUCUGACACUCAGAUGCGAAAGCUAAGGUAGCAAACG